Molecule: ribosomal RNA, 434 nt
Filed under: uncultured archaeon
Lineage: Archaea
Description: bacterial SSU rRNA
Rfam family: Archaeal small subunit ribosomal RNA
Source: RNAcentral
GGACCUGACUGCUAUCGGAUUGAUACUAAGCCAUGCGAGUCUUUGUAGUAAUACAAGGCAGACGGCUCAGUAACGCGUAGUCAAUCUACCCUAUGGACGAGGAUAACCUCGGGAAACUGAGAAUAAUACUCGAUAGAACAUUAUGCCUGGAAUGGUUUAUGUUCCAAAUGAUUUAUCGCCGUAGGAUGGGACUGCGGCCUAUCAGUUUGUUGGUGAGGUAAUGGCCCACCAAGACUAUUACAGGUACGGGCUCUGAGAGGAGUGGCCCGGAGAUGGGUACUGAGACACGGACCCAGGCCCUAUGGGGCGCAGCAGGCGAGAAAACUUUGCAAUGUGCGAAAGCACGACAAGGUUAAUCCGAGUGGUUUCUGCUAAAGAGACCUUUUGUCGGUCCUAGAAACACCGAUGAGUAAGGGGUGGGCAAGUUCUGGUAU